RNAcentral lists this ribosomal RNA (250 nucleotides) under uncultured bacterium. RNAcentral's name for it is "partial 16S ribosomal RNA". It matches the Rfam family "Bacterial small subunit ribosomal RNA", at positions 524 to 773 of the family's 1533-position model. RNAcentral also lists the same sequence under 1 other name. The record is from RNAcentral.
UACGGAGGGAGCUAGCGUUGUUCGGAAUUACUGGGCGUAAAGCGCACGUAGGCGGCUUUGUAAGUCAGAGGUGAAAGCCUGGAGCUCAACUCCAGAACUGCCUUUGAGACUGCAUCGCUUGAAUCCAGGAGAGGUGAGUGGAAUUCCGAGUGUAGAGGUGAAAUUCGUAGAUAUUCGGAAGAACACCAGUGGCGAAGGCGGCUCACUGGACUGGUAUUGACGCUCAUGCACGAAAGCGUGGGGAGCAAAC